GAUGAACGCUGGCGGCGUGCCUAAUACAUGCAAGUCGAGCGAACGGACGAGAAGCUUGCUUCUCUGAUGUUAGCGGCGGACGGGUGAGUAACACGUGGAUAACCUACCUAUAAGACUGGGAUAACUUCGGGAAACCGGAGCUAAUACCGGAUGAUAUUUUGAACCGCAUGGUUCAAAAGUGAAAGACGGUCUUGCUGUCACUUAUAGAUGGAUCCGCGCUGCAUUAGCUAGUUGGUAAGGUAACGGCUUACCAAGGCAACGAUGCAUAGCCGACCUGAGAGGGUGAUCGGCCACACUGGAACUGAGACACGGUCCAGACUCCUACGGGAGGCAGCAGUAGGGAAUCUUCCGCAAUGGGCGAAAGCCUGACGGAGCAACGCCGCGUGAGUGAUGAAGGUCUUCGGAUCGUAAAACUCUGCUAUUAGGGAAGAACAUAUGUGUAAGUAUCUGUGCACAUCUUGACGGUACCUAAUCAGAAAGCCACGGCUAACUACGUG
Molecule: ribosomal RNA, 497 nt
Filed under: uncultured bacterium
Lineage: Bacteria
Description: partial 16S ribosomal RNA
Rfam family: Bacterial small subunit ribosomal RNA
Source: RNAcentral